Molecule: long non-coding RNA, 471 nt
Organism: Parasteatoda tepidariorum (common house spider)
Lineage: Eukaryota; Metazoa; Arthropoda; Arachnida; Araneae; Theridiidae
Source: RefSeq, a predicted model, not a curated record
ACCGUGGGGCUAUUUAUAGAAGGUUUUUGUAGUUUUCCACUCAAUGUAAUACAUAUGCAAGUUAAUGCCAUAAAAAAAUUCCUCCAUGCAGGCAAUUUCAUCCUAAUGUUUGAUCAAAAAGUUCCCUUGUCUUCCACAUUGGAUUCUAAGAUUACAAGGCUACUGAGUUAAACAUUGAGAUUUGGAAUUGUCAACUGCAGAAUAGAUCUGUUGUUUAAUGCCGGUUAAUGAGUAAAAUUACUUAAUUUCAAUUUGUUGCAGGAUAUUCAGGGUGAUCCUCGCAAAUUAGGCACAAGUCAAUGCAUUCAAGAAAUUGCAGAAGAACAUGUUAAACAAGUCAUAAAAUAUGAAAAAAAGAAAAUGAAAUGACAUUUUACAUAUCAUCUUGUAAAUCUCAUACAUUAUUGUAUAUAGAAGUUUUAAAUUACUACUGAAUAUGAAAUAUAUUUUUAAUAAAAUUAAAUAUUGUAA